RNAcentral lists this ribosomal RNA (497 nucleotides) under uncultured bacterium. RNAcentral describes it as "partial 16S ribosomal RNA". It matches the Rfam family "Bacterial small subunit ribosomal RNA", at positions 28 to 507 of the family's 1533-position model. The record is from RNAcentral.
GAUGAACGCUGGCGGCGUGCCUAAUACAUGCAAGUCGAGCGAACAGACGAGGAGCUUGCUCCUCUGACGUUAGCGGCGGACGGGUGAGUAACACGUGGAUAACCUACCUAUAAGACUGGGAUAACUUCGGGAAACCGGAGCUAAUACCGGAUAAUAUAUUGAACCGCAUGGUUCAAUAGUGAAAGACGGUUUUGCUGUCACUUAUAGAUGGAUCCGCGCCGCAUUAGCUAGUUGGUAAGGUAACGGCUUACCAAGGCAACGAUGCGUAGCCGACCUGAGAGGGUGAUCGGCCACACUGGAACUGAGACACGGUCCAGACUCCUAAGGGAGGCAGCAGUAGGGAAUCUGCCGCAAUGGGCGAAAGCCUGACGGAGCAACGCCGCGUGAGUGAUGAAGGUCUUCGGAUCGUAAAACUCUGUUAUUAGGGAAGAACAAAUGUGUAAGUAACUAUGCACGUCUUGACGGUACCUAAUCAGAAAGCCACGGCUAACUACGUG